AGUGAACGCUGGCGGUAGGCCUAACACAUGCAAGUCGAACGGCAGCACAGUAAGAGCUUGCUCUUACGGGUGGCGAGUGGCGGACGGGUGAGGAAUACAUCGGAAUCUACUUUUUCGUGGGGGAUAACGUAGGGAAACUUACGCUAAUACCGCAUACGACCUACGGGUGAAAGCAGGGGAUCUUCGGACCUUGCGCGAUUGAAUGAGCCGAUGUCGGGUUAGCUAGUUGGCGGGGUAAAGGCCCACCAAGGCGACGAUCCGUAGCUGGUCUGAGAGGAUGAUCAGCCACACUGGAACUGAGACACGGUCCAGACUCCUACGGGAGGCAGCAGCGGGGAAUAUUGGACAAUGGGCGCAAGCCUGAUCCAGCCAUACCGCGUGGGUGAAGAAGGCCUUCGGGUUGUAAAGCCCUUUUGUUGGGAAAGAAAAGCAGCAGGUUAAUACCCCGCUGUUCUGACGGUACCCAAAGAAUAAGCACCGGCUAACUUCGUG
This 492-nucleotide ribosomal RNA is filed under the name uncultured bacterium. Its description in RNAcentral is "partial 16S ribosomal RNA". It matches the Rfam family "Bacterial small subunit ribosomal RNA", at positions 29 to 507 of the family's 1533-position model. The record is from RNAcentral.